GGAGGGGUGGCGCAGUUGAGUUAGCGCGUAGGUCUCAUAUACUCGUAUGACUUGGGGACAUCCUAAGGUCGUGGGUUCGAACCCCUCUCUCUCGCA
Molecule: transfer RNA, 96 nt
Filed under: Pleodorina starrii
Lineage: Eukaryota; Viridiplantae; Chlorophyta; Chlorophyceae; Chlamydomonadales; Volvocaceae
Description: tRNA-Met
Rfam family: tRNA
About the family: Transfer RNA (tRNA) molecules are approximately 80 nucleotides in length. Their secondary structure includes four short double-helical elements and three loops (D, anti-codon, and T loops).
Source: RNAcentral